UGGGUAAUGACUUAAACCUAUAUGGCCCCUGGAUUGGACUGCGGCCGAUCAGGCUGUUGGUGAGGUAAUGGCCCACCAAACCUGUAACCGGUACGGGCUCUGAGAGGAGGAGCCCGGAGAUGGGCACUGAGACAAGGGCCCAGGCCCUAUGGGGCGCAGCAGGCGCGAAACCUCUGCAAUAGGCGAAAGCUUGACAGGGUUACUCUGAGUGAUCUCCGUUAAGGAGAUCUUUUGGCACCUCUAAAAAUGGUGCAGAAUAAGGGGUGGGCAAGUCUGGUGUCAGCCGCCGCGGUAAUACCAGCACCCCGAGUGGUCGGGACGUUUAUUGGGCCUAAAGCAUCCGUAGCCGGUUCUACAAGUCUUCCGUUAAAUCCACCUGCUUAACAGAUGGGCUGCGGAAGAUACUAUAGAGCUAGGAGGCGGGAGAGGCAAGCGGUACUCGAUGGGUAGGGGUAAAAUCCGUUGAUCCAUUGAAGACCACCAGUGGCGAAGGCGGCUUGCCAGAACGCGCUCGACGGUGAGGGAUGAAAGCUGGGGGAGCAAACCGGAUUAGAUACCCGGGUAGUCCCAGCUGUAAACGAUGCAGACUCGGUGAUGAAUUGGCUUAUUGCUAAUUCAGUGCCGCAGGGAAGCC
This 634-nucleotide ribosomal RNA is filed under the name uncultured crenarchaeote TREC16-3. Its description in RNAcentral is "bacterial SSU rRNA". It matches the Rfam family "Archaeal small subunit ribosomal RNA", at positions 176 to 813 of the family's 1478-position model. The record is from RNAcentral. Lineage: Archaea; Thermoproteati; Thermoproteota.